RNAcentral lists this ribosomal RNA (253 nucleotides) under uncultured bacterium. RNAcentral describes it as "partial 16S ribosomal RNA". It matches the Rfam family "Bacterial small subunit ribosomal RNA", at positions 524 to 776 of the family's 1533-position model. The record is from RNAcentral.
UACGUAGGGGGCAAGCGUUGUCCGGAAUUAUUGGGCGUAAAGCGCGUGUAGGCGGCUCGGUAAGUCUGCUCUGAAAGUCCAAGGCUCAACCUUGGGAUGCGGGUGGAUACUGCUGGGCUCGAGUCCGGAAGAGGCGAGUGGAAUUCCUGGUGUAGCGGUGAAAUGCGCAGAUAUCAGGAGGAACACCAAUGGCGAAGGCAGCUCGCUGGGACGUGACUGACGCUGAGACGCGAAAGCGUGGGGAGCAAACAGG